This 443-nucleotide ribosomal RNA is filed under the name uncultured bacterium. Its description in RNAcentral is "partial 16S ribosomal RNA". It matches the Rfam family "Bacterial small subunit ribosomal RNA", at positions 338 to 795 of the family's 1533-position model. The record is from RNAcentral.
CCUACGGGAGACAGCAGUGGGGAAUAUUGCACAAUGGGCGAAAGCCUGAUGCAGCAACGCCGCGUGAAGGAAGAAGGGUUUCGGCUCGUAAACUUCUAUCAACAGGGACGAAAGAAAUGACGGUACCUGAAUAAGAAGCUCCCGCUAACUACGUGACAGCCGCCGCCGUAAUCCGUAGGGGGCAAGCGUUAUCCGGAAUUACUGGGUGUAAAGGGUGAGUAGGCGGCAUGGUAAGCCAGAUGUGAAAUCCGUGGGCUUAACCCGGAGAUUGCAUUUGGAACUCUCAAUCUAGAGUACAGGAGAGGAAAGCGGAAUUCCUAGUGUAGCGGUGAAAUGCGUAGAUAUUAGGAAGAACACCAGUGGCGAAGGCGGCUUUCUGGACUGAAACUGACGCUGAGGCACGAAAGCGUAGGGAGCGAACAGGAUUAGAUACCCGGGUAGUC